CAGCAGCCGCCGCGGUAAUACGUAGGGUGCAAGCGUUAAUCGGAAUUACUGGGCGUAAAGCGUGCGCAGGCGGUUAUAUAAGACAGAUGUGAAAUCCCCGGGCUCAACCUGGGAACUGCAUUUGUGACUGUAUAGCUAGAGUACGGCAGAGGGGGAUGGAAUUCCGCGUGUAGCAGUGAAAUGCGUAGAUAUGCGGAGGAACACCGAUGGCGAAGGCAAUCCCCUGGGCCUGUACUGACGCUCAUGCACGAAAGCGUGGGGAGCAAACAGGAUUAGAUACCCCAGUAGUCCCUGUCUCUUAUAC
This 304-nucleotide ribosomal RNA is filed under the name uncultured bacterium. Its description in RNAcentral is "partial 16S ribosomal RNA". It matches the Rfam family "Bacterial small subunit ribosomal RNA", at positions 506 to 807 of the family's 1533-position model. The record is from RNAcentral.